RNAcentral lists this ribosomal RNA (491 nucleotides) under uncultured bacterium. RNAcentral's name for it is "partial 16S ribosomal RNA". It matches the Rfam family "Bacterial small subunit ribosomal RNA", at positions 29 to 507 of the family's 1533-position model. The record is from RNAcentral.
AGUGAACGCUGGCGGUAGGCCUAACACAUGCAAGUCGAACGGCAGCACAGUAAGAGCUUGCUCUUACGGGUGGCGAGUGGCGGACGGGUGAGGAAUACAUCGGAAUCUACUUUUUCGUGGGGGAUAACGUAGGGAAACUACGCUAAUACCGCAUACGACCUACGGGUGAAAGCAGGGGAUCUUCGGACCUUGCGCGAUUGAAUGAGCCGAUGUCGGAUUAGCUAGUUGGCGGGGUAAAGGCCCACCAAGGCGACGAUCCGUGGCUGGUCUGAGAGGAUGAUCAGCCACACUGGAACUGAGACACGGUCCAGACUCCUACGGGAGGCAGCAGUGGGGAAUAUUGGACAAUGGGCGCAAGCCUGAUCCAGCCAUACCGCGUGGGUGAAGAAGGCCUUCGGGUUGUAAAGCCCUUUUGUUGGGAAAGAAAAGCAGCAGGUUAAUACCCCGCUGUUCUGACGGUACCCAAAGAAUAAGCACCGGCUAACUUCGUG